Molecule: long non-coding RNA, 1100 nt
Filed under: Anas platyrhynchos platyrhynchos (common mallard)
Lineage: Eukaryota; Metazoa; Chordata; Aves; Anseriformes; Anatidae
Description: lncRNA (ENSAPLG00000027779.1)
Source: RNAcentral
CCCACAGUAUUGUCCUGGAUAACCUGGCAGCCCAUGGCUUGGACAGGUACACUCUUUGCUGGGUUAAAAACUGGCUGGAUGGCCAGGCCCAGAGAGUAGUAGUGAACAGAGUGAAAUCCAGUUGACAACCGAUCACCAGUGGUGUUUCCCAGGGGUCAGUGUUGUGGCCCAUCCUUUUUAAUAUUUUAAUAUCAGUUAGAUGAGGAAAUUGAGCACAACCUCAGGAAGUUUGCAGACAACGCGAAGUUGGGGGGAAGCAUUGAUCUGCCAGACGGUAGGAAGGCCCUGCACAGGGACCUGAUGAGGUUGGAUCAAUGGUCAGAGAGCAAUGGGAUGACGUUCAAAAUGGCAAGGGGCUGGCUCCUCCACUUCGGCCACAACAAACCCAGGCAAUGCUACAGGCUUGGGGCAGAGUGGCUCGAAAGCUGUGCAGAGUAAAAAGAUCUGGGGGUACUGGUUGAUGCUCGCAGCAACGUGCCCAGUUGGCCAAGGCCAACGGCAUCCUGGAUUGUAUCAGGAAUAGUGUGGCCACCAGAAGGUCCAGGGAGGUGAUUGUCCCCCUGUACUCUUAGGUUUGUCCUGGUCUUUUCAACCUUAAUGAUUUUAUGGUUUUAUUUUUUUUUUUUUUUUUUUUUUUGUUGUUUGUUUGUUUGUUUUUGUUUUUAUUUUUAUUUUUUCUUUUCUUUUUUUCUGUGACUCAUUCACAUCAGCACUGCCGAAGACUCAGCUGGGCUGACAUGAGCAACAGGCCUGCUAUGGAGGAAUGAACUCAGGAAGUGCUGGAUCAAGUUUACUUCCCGUUUUGCUAUUGAUGUUUCUUCCCGUAACACUCCCUACCACCGCUUUUUAUUCAAAAGAACAGCCUCAACAACAAGCGCACGGCGCUAGCCCCCUCAGCCACCCUCCGCCCUGCUCGCAGCCCGCCCGCCCGCCCGGCCCUCAAGAUGGCGGCCGCGCCGCGUGGCCGCAGGACUACUUUUCCCGUGGCGCCGCGCUGCCCGGAACAUGGCGCGGGCCCAGCGGGGCGGUGCCGAGCCCGGCGCCUUCAUUGCGCGUCGCGUUCCGCCGGAACUGCCGCGGCGGAGGGCGAUGAAAUGUUA